GCUUGUCUCAAGAUUAAGCCAUGCAUGUCUAAGUAUAAGCAUUAUACAGUGAAACUGCGAAUGGCUCAUUAUAUCAGUUAUAGUUUAUUUGAUAGUCCCUACUAUUUGGAUAACCGUAGUAAUUCUAGAGCUAAUACAUGCAUAAAGCAGUCUCACGGCUGCGUAUUUAUUAGAUACAAUCAGCCCCCUCGGGGCUCCUUGGUGAUUCAUGAUAACUAUACGAAUCGCACGGCCUUGCGCCGGCGAUGGUUCAUUCAAAUUUCUUCCCUAUCAACUUUCGAUGUUUGGGUAUUGGCCAAACAUGGUUGCAACGGGUAACGGAGGGUUAGGGCUCGACCCCGGAGAAGGAGCCUGAGAAACGGCUACUACAUCCAAGGAAGGCAGCAGG
This 388-nucleotide ribosomal RNA is filed under the name Microthecium compressum. RNAcentral's name for it is "partial small subunit ribosomal RNA". It matches the Rfam family "Eukaryotic small subunit ribosomal RNA", at positions 30 to 432 of the family's 1831-position model. Lineage: Eukaryota; Fungi; Ascomycota; Sordariomycetes; Coronophorales; Ceratostomataceae. The record is from RNAcentral.